RNAcentral lists this unclassified non-coding RNA (269 nucleotides) under Hevea brasiliensis (rubber tree). Lineage: Eukaryota; Viridiplantae; Streptophyta; Magnoliopsida; Malpighiales; Euphorbiaceae. The record is from RNAcentral.
UGAUCAGAUUCACUGGUUUUCCAUAGUUAAUUCCUUGAUGAUUGUCCUUUUCCUCUCGGGUAUGGUGGCCAUGAUUAUGUUGAGGACACUCUACCGUGAUAUUUCUAAAUAUAAUCAACUGGAGACCCAAGAAGAAGCUCAAGAAGAGACUGGUUGGAAACUAGUCCAUGGUGAUGUUUUCAGGCCUCCAUUAAAAUCUGAUUUACUUUGCGUGUAUGUCGGCACAGGUGUUCAGUUUUUUGGCAUGAGUCUUGUCACCAUAAUAUUUG